This is a non-coding RNA of Salmo salar (Atlantic salmon), 57 nucleotides long. The record is from Rfam. NCBI's taxonomy places the organism in Eukaryota, Metazoa, Chordata, Actinopteri, Salmoniformes, Salmonidae.
UGCAAACAUGACUACAGUAAGUCACUUUGGAUUAAAGUGUCUGCUAAAUGGCAUAUA